UUCAUACUACCACGUCCGGAAAUACUUGUCGGAGAAAUAUAUAAAAAUGGAUAUAUUAAGAACUAAAAUACGUCUAGAUACAUCCAUUCAUCCGACAAGUAUUUUUGGAUGGAGGGAGUAUUUG
Triticum aestivum (bread wheat) is the source of this 124-nucleotide non-coding RNA. The record is from Rfam. Lineage: Eukaryota; Viridiplantae; Streptophyta; Magnoliopsida; Poales; Poaceae.